UAAGACGUAGGGGGCGAGCGUUGUCCGGAUUUAUUGGGCGUAAAGCGCGCGUAGGCGGCCGCUCAAGUCGGAUGUGAAAACCCGAGGCUCAACCUCGGGCCUGCAUCCGAUACUGGGCGGCUCGAGGCAGGCAGGGGAGAGUGGAAUUCCUGGUGUAGCGGUGAAAUGCGCAGAUAUCAGGAGGAACACCGGUGGCGAAGGCGGCUCUCUGGGCCUGUCCUGACGCUCAGGCGCGAAAGCUAGGGGAGCAAACAGGA
This 257-nucleotide ribosomal RNA is filed under the name uncultured prokaryote. RNAcentral's name for it is "partial 16S ribosomal RNA". It matches the Rfam family "Bacterial small subunit ribosomal RNA", at positions 521 to 777 of the family's 1533-position model. The record is from RNAcentral.